Molecule: non-coding RNA, 768 nt
Organism: Danio rerio (zebrafish)
Lineage: Eukaryota; Metazoa; Chordata; Actinopteri; Cypriniformes; Danionidae
Source: RefSeq, a predicted model, not a curated record
CAGAGCUGAAUCGAUGAAAUCCUGAAAGCAGCAGUACAGUUAAGGCAGGAGCCCAUGUUUUGCUGUGUCUUCACACAGCUGGGCCAGUUCUGCAGAUGAUCAGAGGGAGUUCGCCAUCAUCACAUCCCUCAUUGCUGCAGUCAGACUGAAACAGGACGGUGAUGCAUGGCAGUCCAUGCCCGAGAUAGGGAUGAUGAAGAGACCACAGCAACAUCUGGUCCAGAUGAGGACACAAGGACAGGUGGACUGAUGCAGAGUCUCGUUCAAUUCACUACAGGAGAACAGGAGUGGCCAAACUCAGUCCAGAACUGCUGCUGUCUUGCAGAGUUUAGUUUAGGUUGACUCUAAACUUCACCAGCUGUCCAGAAUUGAGUUUGGGCACCCCUGCAUUACAGCAUUUCCAGGAUGCUGCUGUGGACUUCUUUACCCUCACCACACACACUAAUCUACAGAUAUUUCAGAUCAUAAAAAACAUUUAAAAAACAAAGUCAUCUUACUGCACAAUGUGUCAUUUGAUUUCUGUAGUGCUAGUAAUAAAAUUAUCCUACCUUUUAUUUUGGAUUCUGUUUUCCUCAAAUGUGUCAGUUCCCUUGUCUACAGGUCCAGCUCCAUCAGCAAUCAGAAAGCUGAUGUAAUCACUGUUUGAAAAUACAUUAACUAACAAUAAAUAGCAAAUGUAAAAUAUGUUUUUUUUUUAAUUUCUCUACUGUACUCAAUAAAAGCCUCCCUGUAACAUCGAUUUUAGAAUAAAUCACCUCUGUGAUCAGG